UACGUAGGUGGCAAGCGUUAUCCGGAUUUAUUGGGUGUAAAGGGCGUGUAGGCGGGAAUGCAAGUCAGAUGUGAAAACUCAGGGCUCAACCCUGAGCCUGCAUUUGAAACUGUAUUUCUUGAGUGCUGGAGAGGCAAUCGGAAUUCCGUGUGUAGCGGUGAAAUGCGUAGAUAUACGGAGGAACACCAGUGGCGAAGGCGGAUUGCCGGACAGUAACUGACGCUGAGGCGCGAAAGCGUGGGGAGCAAACAGG
This 253-nucleotide ribosomal RNA is filed under the name uncultured bacterium. RNAcentral describes it as "partial 16S ribosomal RNA". It matches the Rfam family "Bacterial small subunit ribosomal RNA", at positions 524 to 776 of the family's 1533-position model. The record is from RNAcentral.